Molecule: ribosomal RNA, 265 nt
Filed under: uncultured archaeon
Lineage: Archaea
Description: partial 16S ribosomal RNA
Rfam family: Archaeal small subunit ribosomal RNA
Source: RNAcentral
ACACGACUACAUUAGAUACCCCUGUAGUCCAGGGUGUAAACGCUGCGGGCUUGGUGUUGGGGGUCCUUUGAGGGNGCCCAGUGCCGGAGAGAAGUUGUUAAGCCUGCUGCUUGGGGAGUACGGCCGCAAGGCUGAAACUUAAAGGAAUUGGCGGGGGAGCACAACAACGGGUGGAGCUUGCGGUUUAAUUGGAUUCGACGCCGGAAAUCUUACCGGGACCGACAGCAACAUGAAGGCCAAGCUGAAGACUUUGCCGGAUUAGCUG